ACGAAGCCUAAGAAAGAAAGAAAGAAAAAAAAAAAAGAACGAGUAAACUCUUCAUCAAAAUGUCUUCUGCUGAUUCCUC
Molecule: non-coding RNA, 79 nt
Filed under: Protocruzia adhaerens
Lineage: Eukaryota; Ciliophora; Spirotrichea
Source: RNAcentral